Non-coding RNA from Gossypium hirsutum (cotton), 142 nucleotides. NCBI's taxonomy places the organism in Eukaryota, Viridiplantae, Streptophyta, Magnoliopsida, Malvales, Malvaceae. The record is from Rfam.
UGUUACAAAUUUCAUCCAUUUGUAUAGUUAAAAACUGAUGUGUACGAUGGAAUAACCUGAUAGAGACGUGGUCUGCUACAUGUACCUCAUGUUAAUGUAUAGGGACCAGUUUUAACAGAAGAAAUGGAUGAAAUUUUUAACA